Molecule: ribosomal RNA, 466 nt
Filed under: uncultured bacterium
Lineage: Bacteria
Description: partial 16S ribosomal RNA
Rfam family: Bacterial small subunit ribosomal RNA
Source: RNAcentral
GACGAACGCUGGCGGCGUGCUUAACACAUGCAAGUCGAACGGAAAGGCCCUGCUUGCAGGGUACUCGAGUGGCGAACGGGUGAGUAACACGUGGGUGAUCUGCCCUGCACUUCGGGAUAAGCUUGGGAAACUGGGUCUAAUACCGGAUAGGAACCAUCUUUAGUGUGGUGGUUGGAAAGUUUUUUCGGUGUAGGAUGAGCUCGCGGCCUAUCAGCUUGUUGGUGGGGUAAUGGCCUACCAAGGCGGCGACGGGUAGCCGGCCUGAGAGGGUGUACGGCCAGAUUGGGACUGUGAUACGGGCCAGAGUCCUACGGGAGGCAGCAGUGGGGAAUAUUGCACAAUGGGCGCAAGCCUGAGGCAGCGACGCCGCGUGGGGGAUGAAGGCCUUCGGGUUGUAAACUCCUUUCGCUAGGGACGAAGCUUUGUUGUGACGGUACCUAGAUAAGAAGCACCGGCUAACUACGUG